AUGCCGCACCACUUGCUAGCGGAGGCGGUUGAGCAACGCCUCCUACAACAAAUCCCAGGGCGUGAGCUGAAGCUUAGGGUUAGCUUAUACGCUGACGACGCAGUUGUCUUGAUCAACCCAACCCACCAGGACGUUGACUCCCUGCUAAGAAUUCUCCAAGACUUCGGAUGCGCAACGGGGCUAUGCAUCAACCCUAGAAAAUCCACGGUUUCGCCGAUCAGCUGCAAUGAACUGAACCUAGAGGAAGUGCUACACAAUUUUGGCGGCUCCAUAGCACAGUUCCCCAUCAAGUACCUAGGUCUAUCGCUAACCAUCGGCCGGCUCCGGCUCGUGCACCUGCAGUUCAUCAUAUACACAAUCAAAGCCUGGCUAGUGGGAUGGAAGGGCAGAUUGAUCCACAUCGCAGGACGGCGCGUGCUCGUCCGAUGCGUCCUCAGCGCCAUGCCAACCUUCACGCUUACCGUACUGCGGAUGCACAAGAAGAUCCUCAAGGAAAUCGACAAGUGCCGCCGCCGCUUCCUUUGA
This 525-nucleotide ribosomal RNA is filed under the name Triticum aestivum (bread wheat). Its description in RNAcentral is "partial small subunit ribosomal RNA". The record is from RNAcentral. Lineage: Eukaryota; Viridiplantae; Streptophyta; Magnoliopsida; Poales; Poaceae.